Osmerus eperlanus (European smelt) is the source of this 1075-nucleotide long non-coding RNA. RefSeq lists it as uncharacterized. The record is from RefSeq and is a predicted model, not a curated record. The transcript has 2 exons. NCBI's taxonomy places the organism in Eukaryota, Metazoa, Chordata, Actinopteri, Osmeriformes, Osmeridae.
UGAAACCUUUUAUAUACUUUAGCUUCUGAUUUGUAGAUUCGAUGUGGCCUUUCUAUCAUUUAUUCAGCAUGGUGUUUAGACACAUCCUCUUUAAAUAAAUAAUAAAUGACCCAAAGGAGUGUUUUCUGUACUUUUUCCUUAGACCACAAGAGGGCACUAUAGAACACUUCAUCGUCCAAAAUAUGUUUUAAAGAUGCUGUAAAGCAAAUUCCAUGAUUUGCUUCUCAGUACAUUAUAUACGUGUGAAAUGAGUUGCUGAAAGCAUGUGCAAAGCUCUAAAACUUGGUCGCACUGAAAUGUGGAGUUAGACCGUUGAACAGUUUCUCACCCGUUUUCAGCUCAGGUUUUGUAUAGGCGGGGCAAAACUCAACCUAUCUACGUCAGAUCACAGACGGUUGCAUUCUGUUACUCAGCUGAUACGAUGCAAAGACAAAGUACCGGUAAUUAACACAUAAAACACUCAGAGACUGCAGUUAACACAUUCUUCUGUGGUGUGAUGAACUUAAACAUAAUUUUCAGUUCUGCUUUACAGCAUCUUUAACGGAAGGUAGAAACUAUUUAACACCAGAGAAAACACUGGGUUCUGUUCAAAAUAUGUAUUCAUUUAUUUAUUUUGUUAGCUGCUCCUGGCAUUCUCUAAUCCCUGCUCUCCUCUCUCUGUCCCCCCCACACACAUCCCUUGUGGUGUGGGGGGUUUGAGUUGUCAGCACCUGCCUGGUCGUCGGUCAGCCAACGCUGGACCUGGUCGCGAGUCUCCCGGUCCUGUCCUACAUCUAUAAAGUUGAAUAAUGGAUUUUGGUGUUUUAAAAACCCAUCGACACUGUAUGACUAUGUUUAGCCUGUGUUCUGCUCCUCUCUCCCACCAACCGUCUCUGGAGGAGGGGAUCCCUCUCUGAAUUGCUCCUCCCAAGGUUUCUUCCUUUUUUUUUUCUCCUGUUGAGUUUUUUGGGAGUUUUUCCUUGUCUUCCUUGAGGGUUUAGGUUGGUUGAGGGGCAGUUCUAUGGGCAUAUGUGAAGCCCUCUGUGACAUGCUUGCGUGUAAAAAGGGCUAUACAAAUAAAUUUGAUUUGAUUUGA